AUUGAACGCUCGCGGCAGGCCUAACACAUGCACGUCGAACGAGUGGCGGACGGGUGAGUUAUACCUGGGACACUGCCUCCCUGAGCGGGAUAACUACUGGACACGGUAGCUAAUACUGCACACCAUCUGAUGUGUCCAGAUGGGAUUAGCUAGUAGGUGGGGUAAAGGAGCCCCUAGGCGACGAUCCCUAGCUGGUCUGAGUUGAUGAAAAGGCACACUGGAACUGAGACACGGUCCAGACGCCGAAGGGAGGCAGCAGUGGGGAAUAUUGCACAAGGGGCGCAAGCCUGGUGCAGCCAUGCCGCGUGUAUUAAGAAGGCCGUGGGGUUGGAGAGUACUUUCAGCGGGGAGGCGUUACCCGCAGAAGAAGCACCGGCUAACUCCGUGCCAGCAGCCGCGGUAAUUC
RNAcentral lists this ribosomal RNA (406 nucleotides) under uncultured bacterium. RNAcentral describes it as "partial 16S ribosomal RNA". It matches the Rfam family "Bacterial small subunit ribosomal RNA", at positions 30 to 526 of the family's 1533-position model. The record is from RNAcentral.